Molecule: ribosomal RNA, 492 nt
Filed under: uncultured bacterium
Lineage: Bacteria
Description: partial 16S ribosomal RNA
Rfam family: Bacterial small subunit ribosomal RNA
Source: RNAcentral
GGGGGGGGGGGGGGGGGGGCCGAAGGCAGGGGGGGCGGGCGGCGGCGCAGUGGGGGGAGGGUGUGGCGGGGGGCGAGUGGCGGACGGGUGAGGAAUACAUCUGAAUCUACUUUUUCGUUGGGGGUCACGUCGGGAGGCUUACGCUAAUACCGCAUCCUCCGUCCGGGUGACAUCAGGGGCGCUUCGGCACUUGCGCGGUUGCCUGCGCCGAUGUCGGACUAGCGAGUUGGCGGGGUACAGGCCCGACAAGGCGACGAUCCGUAGCUGGUCUGAGAGGAUGAUCAGCCACACUGGAACUGAGACACGGUCCAGACGCCUACGGGAGGCAGCAGUGGGGAAUAUUGGACAAUGGGCGCAAGCCUGAUCCAGCCAUACCGCGUGGGUGAAGAAGGCCUUCGGGUUGUAAAGCCCUUUUGUUGGGAAAGAAAAGCAGCAGGUUAAUACCCCGCUGUUCUGACGGUACCCAAAGAAUAAGCACCGGCUAACUUCGUG